RNAcentral lists this long non-coding RNA (988 nucleotides) under Mytilus galloprovincialis (Mediterranean mussel). The record is from RNAcentral. Lineage: Eukaryota; Metazoa; Mollusca; Bivalvia; Mytilida; Mytilidae.
AGUUGUGAGUAGGUGUUAGUCACGAACAUAGUUCAUAAAUAUAAGUUCAAAACAGUGUAUAAAAAUGUAAUCACAAAAAUACUGAACUCGGAGGAAAACUCAUAACGGAAAGUCCUUCAUCAAAUGGCAAAAUCAAAAGCUCAAACACAUCAAACAAAUGGAUGAUAACUGUCAUAUUCCUGACUUGAUACAAGCAUUUUCUUGUGUAGAAAAUGGGGAAUUAAACUUGGUUAAGUAGCCAGGGGCGGAUGCAGGAAUUUUCGAAAGGGGGGGUGCUAACCCAGGGCAAAGGGGGGGGGGUGCAAAACAUAUGUCCCGAUACAAAUGCAUUGAUCGGCAAAAAUAAAGGGGGGGUGCGCAUCCCCGGAACCCCCCCCCUGGAUCCGCCACUGGUAGCUAACUCAACCUCUCACUUGUAUGACAGUCGCAUAAACUUCCAUAAUAUUGACAACGAUGUUUGAACAAAAAAAAAAAACAGACAUAGUAGGUACAAAUGUCAAAAAGAAUUGUACAGCAGUCAUUAUUGAGUUAUAAACCCACUAUUUAUUAUAAAAUAGAAUAAAUAGUUAAAUAGUUGUUUUGAUAUCAUAUUGAAACAGCUUCUUUUUGUUUCGAAAUGAAGGAAUCAUCGAAUAUCAUUAGUGGAAUUCAAUAAAAAAAAAAAAGAUAAUGCUGUAAAUGAGGAAUAGAGUUUAGAAAAAAGGUGACAUUAACAAUCAAAUCGAAGUCGGAUGAAAUAUAUAUGAACAGACAGUUGACAGAAACAAAACAUCACCCUGAAACUACGACUUAAACAACAGUUAUCAAACAUUUAAAAUCGGGUGCUCUGUCAGAGUUAUGUGUUCCAGUUCUAAUCUAUAUAAUGUGUGAUGUCAUGAAUAUAAUAUAAUUGUACCAUUAUGAUCUUGGUUUAAUAUAUUAUAUCUUAUAUAUAUGAAAAGAAUUACUUCCGGUAGCAUAAAUAAUUGCCUAUACGUGUAUAUACUGC